Molecule: ribosomal RNA, 497 nt
Filed under: uncultured bacterium
Lineage: Bacteria
Description: partial 16S ribosomal RNA
Rfam family: Bacterial small subunit ribosomal RNA
Source: RNAcentral
GAUGAACGCUGGCGGCGUGCCUAAUACAUGCAAGUCGAGCGAACAGACGAGGAGCUUGCUCCUCUGACGUUAGCGGCGGACGGGUGAGUAACACGUGGAUAACCUACCUAUAAGACUGGGAUAACUUCGGGAAACCGGAGCUAAUACCGGAUAAUAUAUUGAACCGCAUGGUUCAAUAGUGAAAGACGGUUUUGCUGUCACUUAUAGAUGGAUCCGCGCGGCAUUAGCUAGUUGGUAAGGUAACGGCUUACCAAGGCAACGAUGCGUAGCCGACCUGAGAGGGUGAUCGGCCACACUGGAACUGAGACACGGUCCAGACUCCUACGGGAGGCAGCAGUAGGGAAUCUUCCGCAAUGGGCGAAAGCCUGACGGAGCAACGCCGCGUGAGUGAUGAAGGUCUUCGGAUCGUAAAACUCUGUUAUUAGGGAAGAACAAAUGUGUAAGUAACUGUGCACGUCUUGACGGUACCUAAUCAGAAAGCCACGGCUAACUACGUG